RNAcentral lists this long non-coding RNA (1038 nucleotides) under Anser cygnoides (Swan goose). Its description in RNAcentral is "lncRNA (ENSACDG00005002149.1)". The record is from RNAcentral. Lineage: Eukaryota; Metazoa; Chordata; Aves; Anseriformes; Anatidae.
AUGAGUGGCAAAAAAAAACACAACAAACAAAACAAAACAAAACAAAACAAAACGAAGCCCUGGUCCCGUGAUCUCGCCAGCACUGCUCACCCGGCCGCACCGGGGCAGGGAUGGGGGUCCCGCGUGGGGAGCUCGCUGGGGGGUCCAGCAGCCCGUGAUCUCUGGGGGAAGGCAAGGCGUGCUCCUCGUUCCUCCGUGGGAAAAACCACCCGGGGGGCUGCGCCGGGUGGUCCCGCACCCAUCCCCGGAGCAGGCGGAGGGAGGCCAGGUGCCCCGGGGCAGCUCACGGAACCACACGAAGCCGCCAUGCCCACUGCUGAGCCUCAGCCCUGGAGGCUCCGUCGUGGGACGUGGGCUUGGGCUGCCCUGCUGGGAGCAGGGCUGGUGGGACACAUCGACCCCAAGAGGGGCCUCCAGCCUCAAGCCUUCACCAGGUUCAGCCUCCAGGAGCCUCCGGGGUCUCUUCCACCGACCUCAGCCCCAGGAAGAGGUCACCACAGAGGGUGCGGAGGCUCCACUGGGACAUGGGCUCGGGCUGCCCUGCUCAGAGCAGGGCUGGUGGGACACGGUGGAACCCCCGGAGGAGCCUCCAGCCUCAACCCUUCACCAACCUCAGGCUCCAGGAGCCUCUGGGGUCUCUUCCACCGACCUCAGCCCCAGGAAGAGGUCACCACAGAGGUUGAGGAGGCUCCGCUGGGACCCGAGCUCCGGCUGGCAGUGCUCAGAGCAGGGCUGGUGGGACACAUCGACCCCAAGAGGAGCCUCCAGCCUCAACCCUUGAUCGGCCUCAGCCUCCAGGAGCCUCCGGGGUCUCUUCCACCGACCUCAGCCCCAGGAAGAGGUCACCACAGAGGGUGCGGAGGCUCCGCUGGGACAUGGGCUCGGGCUGCCCCGCUCAGAGCAGGGCUGGUGGGACACGGGGGGGACCCCAAGAGGAGGCUCCAGCCUCAGCCCUUGACCAGCCUCAGCCUCCAGGAGCCUCCGCAGUCUCCUCGCCGGCCUCGGCCUCCCCGAGGGAGGCACCCCGGGGUCACGUGA